This 987-nucleotide long non-coding RNA is filed under the name Vulpes vulpes (red fox). RNAcentral describes it as "lncRNA (ENSVVUG00000019715.1)". Lineage: Eukaryota; Metazoa; Chordata; Mammalia; Carnivora; Canidae. The record is from RNAcentral.
GGCCAAGUGAGAAAUGCAUGAAUUCUAACCCAAAACUCCUGAGUUUCUGCCACAUGAAUUGCUGUUUCAGAAACUAGUUAUGAAUCAUUUGCAGCCCGACAUCAACUGAAAGACCAGUUAACUUAGUCCUUUAUCUGGAGUCUCCCAAUUCUAAUGUUUUCUUUUCUUUUUUUUUUUAAGAUUUUAUUUAUUUAUUUAUAGAGACACAGAGAGAGAAUGAGAGGCAGAGACACGGCAGAGGGAGAAGCAGGCUCCAUGCAGGGAGCCCAACGUGGGACUCGAUCCAGAGUCUCCAGGAUCACUCCCCGGGCUGCAGGAAGCGCUAAACCACUGCAUCACCGGGGCUGCCCUGGAGUCUCCCAAUUCUAAAUCAAUAAUUUAUGAGAUCCGCAUGCAACUAAGUUAUGUGAACCUGAUGCUCUGCCUCACAGCAAAGCCUUCACAGUGUUCUCAUUUAAGCUUUGGAGGUGUUGACUCCAUGGAUCUGGGUGGAACAGGAUUCUCAGACUUCAGGCAGCCCCUCAUUCUCCAGGACUUCGCAGGAGGCUUCCUGAUUUCAGCUGGAUUUGAACCAGGAGGCUGGAGAAGCUGGGAGCUGCCCUGGAUCCUAAGGAUGAAGCUUGCACAGAGAAAGGUUUCCAGGUGAUGCUGCUGGUCUGGGGCCACACUUUGAGAACUGCUGAGUUUUUGAGCAGCUGCUCUGGUGCCGCAUUUCACCCAUUCACCUAGGUGGAUCCUCACCACAAUUCAGCCAGUAAGUUUCAUUACCGGCAUUUAAGAUCUGAGGUCCAGAAGAGGGGAAGUGGCAUCGUCAGAAACACACAGGUGCGGCUGACCUCACAGCCACUCCUCCACACACAAGUGUGCAGCUACUUUCUCAAGCAGCCUCUGGACAUGGAUUGCAAAAGGAGUGUGUCAAAUAGAGAAUCUGGCGAGGGUUUGCCCAUCCCUCUUUACUGUCCUGAGAUCACUGCAAGGAACAUGAGU